RNAcentral lists this ribosomal RNA (460 nucleotides) under uncultured bacterium. RNAcentral's name for it is "partial 16S ribosomal RNA". It matches the Rfam family "Bacterial small subunit ribosomal RNA", at positions 338 to 795 of the family's 1533-position model. The record is from RNAcentral.
CCUACGGGAGGCAGCAGUGAGGAAUAUUGGUCAAUGGACGAGAGUCUGAACCAGCCAAGUAGCGUGAAGGAUGACUGCCCUAUGGGUUGUAAACUUCUUUUAUAUGGGAAUAAAAUGUUCCACGUGUGGGAUUUUGUAUGUACCAUAUGAAUAAGGAUCGGCUAACUCCGUGCCAGCAGCCGCGGUAAUACGGAGGAUCCGAGCGUUAUCCGGAUUUAUUGGGUUUAAAGGGAGCGUAGGUGGAUUGUUAAGUCAGCUGUGAAAGUUUGCGGCUCAACCGUAAAAUUGCAGUUGAAACUGGCAGUCUUGAGUACAGUAGAGGUGGGCGGAAUUCGUGGUGUAGCGGUGAAAUGCUUAGAUAUCACGAAGAACUCCGAUUGCGAAGGCAGUUCACUGGACUGCAACUGACACUGAGGCUCGAAAGUGUGGGUAUCAAACAGGAUUAGAUACCCCAGUAGUC